Molecule: ribosomal RNA, 274 nt
Filed under: uncultured bacterium
Lineage: Bacteria
Description: partial 16S ribosomal RNA
Rfam family: Bacterial small subunit ribosomal RNA
Source: RNAcentral
AUACGGAGGGAGCGAGCGUUAAUCGGAAUUACUGGGCGUAAAGCGCGCGUAGGCGGCUUUGUAAGUCGGAUGUGAAAGCCCCGGGCUCAACCUGGGAAUUGCAUUCGAUACUGCAGAGCUAGAGUAUGGUAGAGGGAAGUGGAAUUUCCGGUGUAGCGGUGAAAUGCGUAGAUAUCGGAAGGAACACCAGUGGCGAAGGCGACUUCCUGGGCCAAUACUGACGCUGAGGUGCGAAAGCGUGGGGAGCAAACAGGAUUAGAAACCCCGGUAGUCC